UUGGCCGCCGCUCUGGUUCUCGCCGCCGCCGCCCCUCAGGAGCCUCGGCCAAUCGAGAUCCUCCUCGACGAGCGCGUCCCUCCCGAGGGCGGCGCUUACUCCUUCAAGAUCGAGACCGAGAACGGGAUCGUCCAGAGCGAGGAGGGCGCCCCAGGCCUGGAGGGCCAGACCAACGUUCAGGGUGUCUUUAGUUUCCCCCUGGAAGACGGCAGCAUCGCCCAAGUCCGGUACCAAGCUGACGAGAACGGCUUCCAGGCCCAGUCCCCUCUGCUGCCCGUCGCCCCCGAGUUCCCUCACCCCAUCCCGCAGUUCGUACUCGACCAGAUCGCUUUUGCCGAGGAGCAGGAUCGCCUCGAAGCUCAAGGUCAAAUUCUCAGUGAGCAACUGCAGCAGUGAAAUCUUUUCGCGUUCCUGUGAUUUAAUCCUCUAACCGUUCGCCGGUUUUUCUUGACUAGUAGUUUCUUGUCACGUCGUUAGCUCCGUGACGGGAUUGCAUGUAGAGUCAAUAGAUGAUCACAUAAUUAU
Penaeus chinensis is the source of this 525-nucleotide long non-coding RNA. RefSeq lists it as uncharacterized. The transcript has 2 exons. The record is from RefSeq and is a predicted model, not a curated record. Lineage: Eukaryota; Metazoa; Arthropoda; Malacostraca; Decapoda; Penaeidae.